This 491-nucleotide ribosomal RNA is filed under the name uncultured bacterium. RNAcentral describes it as "partial 16S ribosomal RNA". It matches the Rfam family "Bacterial small subunit ribosomal RNA", at positions 29 to 507 of the family's 1533-position model. The record is from RNAcentral.
GUGAACGCUGGCGGUAGGCCUAACACAUGCAAGUCGAACGGCAGCACAGUAAGAGCUUGCUCUUACGGGUGGCGAGUGGCAGACGGGUGAGGAAUACAUCGGAAUCUACUUUUUCGUGGGGGAUAACGUAGGGAAACUUACGCUAAUACCGCAUACGACCUACGGGUGAAAGCAGGGGAUCUUCGGACCUUGCGCGAUUGAAUGAGCCGAUGUCGGAUUAGCUAGUUGGCGGGGUAAAGGCCCACCAAGGCGACGAUCCGUAGCUGGUCUGAGAGGAUGAUCAGCCACACUGGAACUGAGACACGGUCCAGACUCCUACGGGAGGCAGCAGUGGGGAAUAUUGGACAAUGGGCGCAAGCCUGAUCCAGCCAUACCGCGUGGGUGAAGAAGGCCUUCGGGUUGUAAAGCCCUUUUGUUGGGAAAGAAAAGCAGCAGGUUAAUACCCCGCUGUUCUGACGGUACCCAAAGAAUAAGCACCGGCUAACUUCGUG